This is a long non-coding RNA of Acomys russatus (golden spiny mouse), 247 nucleotides long. RefSeq lists it as uncharacterized. The transcript has 5 exons. NCBI's taxonomy places the organism in Eukaryota, Metazoa, Chordata, Mammalia, Rodentia, Muridae. The record is from RefSeq and is a predicted model, not a curated record.
GGGUUAGCCCUUGGCGUGCCACAGGGGACACGUGAGGCAGGGGUUAGCCCUUGGCGUGCCACAGGGGACACGUGAGGCAGGGGUUAGCCCUUGGCGUGCCACAGGGGACACGUGAGGCAGGGGUUAGCCCUUGGCGUGCCACAGGGGACACGUGAGGCAGGGGUUAGCCCUUGGCGUGCCACAGGGGACAUGAGGUAGGGUUAGCCCUUGACAUGCUGGGGCAGCACAGAGGACGUGAGGCAGGGUU